Molecule: ribosomal RNA, 253 nt
Filed under: uncultured bacterium
Lineage: Bacteria
Description: partial 16S ribosomal RNA
Rfam family: Bacterial small subunit ribosomal RNA
Source: RNAcentral
UACAGAGGUCUCGAGCGUUGUUCGGAUUCACUGGGCGUAAAGGGUGCGUAGGUGGCCAGGUAAGUUUGAUGUGAAAGCUCGGAGCUUAACUCCGAAAUGGCAUUGAAUACUGCUGAGCUGGAGGUUUGGAGGGGGGACUGGAAUUCUUGGUGUAGCAGUGAAAUGCGUAGAUAUCAAGAGGAACACCAGUGGCGAAGGCGAGUCCCUGGACAACACCUGACACUGAGGCACGAAAGCUAGGGGAGCAAACAGG